ACAGCAGGCCGUCUUAUCGCUGCUCUUUCGGGAGGAGAGGAAAGUCCGGGCAACGCAGAGCAUCCUACUUCCUAACGGGAAGGGGCUGUUUUGGCGACGAAACAGCUACAGCUAGUGCCACAGAAAAUUACCGCCACUUGCAAAAGUGGUAAGGGUGAAAAGGUGCGGUAAGAGCGCACCAGUGGGCGGGUGACCGUUCCAGCUGGGUAAACCUUAGGAGUUGAAAGACCAAAUAGGCUGUCAGCGCCUUGCUUCGGCAGGGCUAAGGGCUGCUCGUCCGAUGUCAGUGGGUAGGUCGAUGGAGCCUGUGCGUGAGUGCAGGCCUAGAUAAAUGAUAAGACGUGUAGCUUCGGCUAUGCGACAGAACCCGGCUUACAGGCUUGCUGCUAAU
Molecule: RNase P RNA, 391 nt
Filed under: Pontibacter sp. SGAir0037
Lineage: Bacteria; Pseudomonadati; Bacteroidota; Cytophagia; Cytophagales; Hymenobacteraceae
Description: Bacterial RNase P class A
Rfam family: Bacterial RNase P class A
About the family: Ribonuclease P (RNase P) is a ubiquitous endoribonuclease, found in archaea, bacteria and eukarya as well as chloroplasts and mitochondria.
Source: Rfam by way of RNAcentral